Coturnix japonica (Japanese quail) is the source of this 2953-nucleotide non-coding RNA. NCBI's taxonomy places the organism in Eukaryota, Metazoa, Chordata, Aves, Galliformes, Phasianidae. The record is from RefSeq and is a predicted model, not a curated record.
AUUUCAUGGUUUAACAUAUAAAACUGUUGAGCACCCAAAACCAGCAACUCGACUCUAGCAGGAGCAGAGUUCUGCUCCUCCAAACACUGAACUACACGUCAGCUACUGCACCCACACAGUGCUCAGUAUCUCUCUGAUCACCAAGAGCAGCACCCAGGAGAUGUUUGUGAUGCCUCUCCAGUGAGGAAGGGGCCUUGGGAGAGCACUCCUGAAGGCAAGCAGCACACAACAGGCUGAGCAAACUGGUCUUUCCCCUCUAUCUGCAGAGAACAGCUCUACAUCAAGGGCACUGGAUGGCAGGGGAAAAAGAGAACACUAUUUUGUCUGGAAGGCUGAGUUAUUUCUUUUCCUGCACUAAAUUUAAAGCCACAAAGGUAACCGUAACAAGAUCCAGUCCAGUGACAAACUUCUCUUAUCAGCACCAUGUUUACUCAGAGGAAGCUACUGAGAACAGAAAACAUGCCAGGCAAUUUUUUGAUUUUUUUUUCUCCUUUCUUCCUUUCUUUCUUUCUUUCUUUUUUUUUUUUAAAGCCAUGAAAAUCAAUACUGCUUAUUGAACCCCCCCCCCCAGCAGUUUUCUUACGAGGGGGAGGCUGCACUUAUUUACCUCUUGAAGGAUAUCUUUCUUAAGGAAUAAAGCAAAAUCUGGUAGUGUAUCUCAAGUUAAAAGAAUAAUUUGCCCAGGAAGUUGAAAUUGUGAUGAAGUACAUGGAGUUAUUCUGCCAGUGGAAAUCAGAAGGGUCACAGUCUGAUCACUGAACACAGUGCAGGUUUUAAGCUCAAGUUAAAUGAAGAAAUGUUGGGAGCUCUGUGUUUUAUCAGGGAACAAAUGUUCCUGCAGUUCGGACAUCUGAAAAUUGGGUUUACCUGGAAGAGCCAUAGCAGGGACAAGACACAGAACAUAACAGAUACCUACUGCUGGGCUGCCAGGGCAGAUGUCAGCUCUUAUUUCUGCAGCAGGAGUCGUGGAAAAGGCUUUUUGGUAACAUGUUCUUCACUUUUCUUUUUCUUUUUUCUUUUUUAGUAGGACUACAGUGUGAGUUUAAGUAUCAAAAAUAGUUCCCUUGUGGGCAAGAAGGAAGAGGCCAAGCACUGGUCUUACUUUCUCCAUCUCAGCCCACUUUACUUCAUCGUGAACGCCCAGAGAUGCUGUGGUCAGCUAAAUAAAGAAGUCACACAAAGGAGCCAGAAGGCGGCUGCAGAAUGAGCUCCUUGUUGGGGGGACCGUGCUGCAGGUACAGAUGCAGUACCGGCUUGACCGCAUCCUGCCUGGCCCGGCCCGGCAGCCAGCCACAGUGCUCCAUUCUUCCCUAAAAUACACAGGCACCAAAGGGCUUUAGCAGCUACGGACUGGACUGCACAUGCAGCCAGACAGUUUUGGAGCAGGAAGGUCUUGGUUAAGUCACUGAACUGCAACUUCAGUCCAUCUUUUCUCUCUUAAGCAAUAAGCAAUUCUUUCCACAGAUGGCCAUGGGGUUUCUCAGUUCUGUGGGCUUGGGUGAAGAUCACAAAAAUAAACACAGUAAAUGUUUCAAGUCUUUGCUGUGUAGAACCUUUUACUCUACGCUGGUUAACUAUGUUUGCAAAACAGCUGUCCCUCAGUUAAAACAGUAUGUGCAAAAAAAUACAGCUACUGAACAUCUUGCAACCUGCUUCUGUUUUCUGAGGUCCAGGCUAUGUUUGGUCUACAUGAAAACAGAGGCUUAAACUUCAGGUGGCCAAGCAAAGCACCCUUUCACACACAGCACUGCGCUUGGAUGCCCCUAGUCCGUAUAAACUGCUACUGGACACUCAUAAUCCCUUGGGAUUCAGAGCGGAGCAUUUAGCUGAAGCAAACUCUUUCAGGGUUAGGUGACAAGGAGCUGGGUGCUUAUUUGUUUAAACCAGAAUCGAUAGCAGAGACUGACAAGGCCUGGAAUUGCACAAGGUUUGGCCAUGCAUAAGCUUGGUUUUCUUGCAUUUAAAUUUCCCUGUCAGCUGUAGGCAGCGUUCCAGCUUGUGAAGUUUUGCUGAAAUUGGAAGCAACACCAAGCUUGGCAGAAAUGUGAUUGUAAGGUUUAAUUGAAAGAGUAAGCUCGCUAUUACAAAUUAAUGUGGAGAAGGCAGCCAUGGUGGAAUCUGUCUUCGGUUCCAUAUGGCCCUCCACUGCUCAUUGAUCACACAGCCUGCUCUCAUGCAUUUAUCCUCACAGGAGUCUCUCCGCUUGCUGAGAACUAUUACCCCCUUCUUACAGCUGGAAAAUAGGAGAUCGGAGAGUUACCUGCCUUGCUCAGAGGCACUGAAAGAAACUGAUCAUGGAUAACUGCUAAUCUUUUCUUCUUUUCCAGAUUGCUUAUAAUGUUUCCCUAAUGAAAAAUCACUUCUUAUCUGAUAAACUUACAUUAUGCACUGCAGAUGAAACCAAAAGCAACAGUGUCAUUUAAAAAUAAAUCGUUAAAAGCCAACAUGGUUUUAGCAAUUUACUACAAUUCACUUUGAUUUUCAGUUUUUCCUGCGAAAAGAUCUCCAGCAUAAUCUUAUGAGCGAAUGAAACAGGAAAUGUUAAAACAGACUUGGUUGAUUACUGAUGAUCCCCGAGUCACAAUUCUCCUCCUUCCAUGGAAAGUUGCUUUCCUUCUUUCCUCCACAAAACGACAGAGUUAUUUUUUCCUGACAGAACAUGUCUUAUCAUCAGAGAGGACAAAGACAAUGACAUAUCAGUUAAAGCAGGUUAAGCAUCUCCGUAGCAGAGGAAUUUUGCCCUGAACUUCACAGAUGUCUUCAUUAUAGCCACCCUGGGUCAGAUGACGUUGGCUCUUCCUGCUGCUUAAGUCACCAUCACAGAUAAUAAACCCUUGUUCAUGUCACCCUCUCUUUCCAGGAAAAAGUUUCUGGUAGGAGGCUGUGAGGUCUGGCAGAGAUAUGUGCAUGCUCAGAAAAUACAGCUUGUGUUUGAAUAUCAUUCUAUACUGUA